AUGGUGAUACCGCAGUGGUGGAGUAAUAUCUGAAUUCAAUUCGAGUGGGUACGUGGUCAAGUUUCAGGGACGAAACUUCUUUUAAGGGGGGGGGUAAGAUAAGGACUAAGAUUUUGACAGUAUAGCUAAACUCUUUGUUGACGAUGUUUUUGUGUGUAAUUUAAUUACAUAAGCACUCGUCAAGUUUUAGGAGAAAAUGAGUUAAGAUGGAGAAGUUACGCGACCAGAACCAAUGACUUAAAGUGAAUAGUAACUCCGGCUUUUCGGAGGAGCCAGCUAGUAGAGAGGAUUCUGGUACGCAUUGGACUCCGAUCAUAGCGCUCCAAUAGCUCGUUUCAAACGGCUCAACUAUUCUGGACCCAAUGGCACUGAUGGAAUUGGGUUCUGAUGCACGAUUUUCGAGAAAAAAGGGUUUGAUUGGAUUUAUAUAUAUAUGUGUUUUGUAGUAGAACAAUGAGGGCGGGUUUCGUCGAGAAUCAACGACCAAAUCAGAUGAAACAAAAUACUAUAGUCGUGUUGAACGCGCUGGCGUAAUCCGUUCGGAAAUCCGAUAGACGGAGCUUCGGAAAUUGUGAAUUGUUCGCUGAUGGGUCGAAUUGACGAAACAGAAACUUCACGAAAGGUCCAAUAUUUUAUGUACCAUUUUGCGAGGUUUCGAACGU
Molecule: long non-coding RNA, 662 nt
Filed under: Ananas comosus (pineapple)
Lineage: Eukaryota; Viridiplantae; Streptophyta; Magnoliopsida; Poales; Bromeliaceae
Description: long non-coding RNA (ACOM_LNC008810)
Source: RNAcentral